AAGGGUUGCCACCACUCAGAGGAGCACAGCAGGAUUAGCCCCACACAGGUGAAAAGAAAGUGAAUGGUUCUUUCUGUGAGCAGAUUUUCUUUCUAAAACAAUGCCUCCUGCAGCUAAAGGAGGAAAAGAGGAAACCAACAAUACCAACAGCUAGGGGAAGAGAUAGGUGAGGUCUCUGUUUUCUGAUGAGGAAGCUAAGCCUUGGAAGCCAGGCUUCAAACCUAGCGGGGGCAUAAUGAUCUUUCCAGUGUACAUUUUUGCUUUUGCAAAUUAGAAGAGUUAUUAAGUUUAUGAGUCAGUAUCAUGAAGAUCAAGAUGAUAUCUAAAAGGUUACUGGCAUGCAGUUUCCAUAAUAUUGCUAGAAGACAAGACUGAAUCAUAGCCUCCCAGGAACAGAAGAAACCUCAAAAGUUAUCGAGGCUGUUGUUUGGCAGCAACUGGAGCUACGUCCAAGCUGGUGGGUAUGCAGCGAUGGGCUGGGAACUCAUCUCCUCUUGGAAGUGAUACUUCUAAAGCUGCUGUGCUCAUAACUAGGGAAGCAGAAGAGGAGAUCGUCCUCCUGCCCUGGCAACCAGGGAUGAUGGCACGUGCCUAGGCUCAAGCAUGGCAAUUCUCCCAUCCAGAACUUGGAAUCUUCGGGGUAGUGGGAACUAUUUGCAGCUUUUUGAGCAGGGGAGGAAUGACGAUCAAAGCUGUAUUUAAGGAAGAAGAAUCUGACAGUGCUGCGUGGGCUUUGCUGGAACUGGGCAGUGAGAAGGCUAGAAAUUGCAUUUGUUCCGGUAAAAGUGAUAAAAAAGAAAUGAUCAGAAGUGGAAAGGUGGGUUAGUGAACCAAUGUUUCCACCUCUGAAGGGCCACGGAGCCAGGGAGGAGGAUUUACUCUUCUCUGUUAAGAAGGAGCUCUGCUGUCCUGACCAAAUGCCAGAAGAUGUGACUUUGCUCAGACCAAGCUACCAAAGACCACUGCCCUUCGUUCCACGAGCCUGGCCCUGUCUACACAGACAGGCAACCCAGGAGCCUGAUCCAGGAGCCGACAGGUAACUCUGGGCCACACAGCACUUGGCAACUGUACGUGCAUAAGGAGUCUCUGUAGAUGAGAGGUUCUAUCGAAAACAGUGUGUUUAGCAGAGAACAGUGUGGAAUUCCAUGCAUGGGUGAUGUCAUCUGCUUUGUUUGGUACCUGCCCAACCAGAUACGAACUGAGGGCCAUGAAAGCUGACUCACCUUCGCAGCAGAAGGUGAGCUGAGAGUCCCUGGCCCUGGCUCCCCAAAGCCUGACUUCAACCAACUCUAUUUCCCUACUGAUGAGAAGCUGAGUGCACCUGUCUCCAGGCCGCCAGGCCUGUGGGUCCUGUCCUAGAGCUCACCUUCCAAGCCCUCAGCCCCAUCUCACACACUCACACACCUGGGAAAGGAAGAAAAAGACAGGAGAGAUAUUCACAUUUUGUUGUAAAACCUUUUAACUAGACUACAUAUAGGUAUUAAAAACCUGGGGCUGGGUGUGAAGGCUCAUGCCUGUAAUCCCAGCACUUCGGGAGGCGGAGGCAGGCAGAUCAUUUGAGGUCAAGGGUUCAAGAACAGCCUGAUCAACAUGGUGAAACCCCAUCUCUACUAACAACGACAACAACAAAAUAGCCAGACGUAGUGGCACAUGCCUGUAGUCCCAGCCACUUGGGAGGCUGAGGCACUAGAAUCGCUUGAACACAGGAGGCAGAGAUUGCAGUGAGCCGAGAUCACACCACUGCACUGCAGCCUGGGUGACAGAGUGAGACUCCGUCUCAAAAAAAAAAAAAAAGAAAAAAAGAAAAAGAAAACAACCUGGGCCAUUGCCAGUCUGUGUUUAUCCAGGGCUACUGGUCAGAAUAUUCUGCCUGAAUUAAACAGCCUACCCAGUCAAAGAAGUCGUCUAAUAUCUAUUUUACAGAACUGACCAAAUGUGUGACUAUACCGGCUGUUCAGUUCAUAUUCUCAAAAGGUACAAAUAUUCUACCAUCCUAAAAGUGCAUCAGAAGACUUACUCAGACCCUGGCAUCUUAUCACUACAUUUUGAGUAAUAAUUUUUUUGUUUCUUUCCUGUUACCACCUACAUCCAACACAUUUAUGUGUAGCAAAUAAAUUAUCCUUGUCACAGAUAUUUACAACUGCUGAUUUGUUGCUCCAUAAGCCCAAAAGGAGAAAACAGGGGUCAGCCUGACACAAUUGGUAAAGAAAAAAAUGAGAUAAAGGGGAUGUAAACAUGUCUGUGAUGUGGGGAUAUAAUUAUGGCUGGUGCACGUGCUGGGGUCAGGACACAGAAUGAGGAAGUCCUGGGUUCUUGGAUCCCGGAGCCCAGAGCAGAAGCAGAGACCAGGCAAGCCAGGAAGAUGAAGUUGCGCUCUGGAAUUCCUUGGCCCUUAAAUGUACAAGUGCGGCAGGAGCAGUAGUGGCAGCCUCUUUUGCUUGUCUCCUCCAGUUCCUGCUAUGGAGGGUCCCAAGGAAUCCUCUGUUCACUGGGGCGAGUUGAUGAACUUGGCUCAAUGGCUUAGAUAUGAAAGCAUUUCUGGCACAUGUGUGUAGUCAGGGGAAAUCACGAUCUGCUGGAGCUUUGCUGGAACGUUCAGAGGACGGUUUCAUUUCAUGAAAAACUCCAUCGUGGUUGGGCCCGGUGACUCAUGCCUGUAAUCCCAGUGCUUUGGAAGGCCAAGGUGGGAGGAUCACUUGAGAUCGGGAGUUCAAGACUAGCCUGGGCAACAUAGCAAGACCUCAUCUCUACAAAAAAACUUUUAAAAAAUUAACCGUGCAUGGUGGCACCUGCCUGGACGCUGAGGUGGAAGGAUCUCUUGAGCCCAGGAGUCUGAGGCUGCAGUGAGCUAUGAUUGCACCACUGCACUGCAUCCCCGGCAACAAAGUGAGACCUUACCUCAAAUAAAUAAAUAAAUAAAUAAAAUUUAAAACUCCAUCCUCCAAGAAAGAAGUCAGGUCGGGGAAGCCUGAUUCCUAGCAGAAUCCCACAGGGAAGGAGAAAGACAAGCAAAGGGUUUCUUACUAAGCAGCGCUGCAAUUGGCUACAGGGAACAUUGCGUUUUUCAGGCCCCAGUCCAGUCGUGGGUUCUGCGACUGUGCUCUGGGCACAACCCUGCAACCCUCCUGAAAGGCCAAGUGAGAAGAGACUGGAGAAGCUGAAUCCUGGUGACUCUUUCUCAGGGGUGUUGUCAGGGAAUGUGCUAUGCACAGAUCCAAGGAGGAACUGUGCUUGCUACUCUGUUAUGGGACACAGCUGUUAUAUGCCCGGUCCAUGGUUGGCACUCUGUUCUGCAAAGUCAAGGUGGGAACCAUGGCAAGGGCAUUUCACAAGGCUCUCUAUCUGUUUUGCCCUGCUGCAAACAGAACAGAUUCCUGGGCCCACCCAGCCCUUUGAAAGCCAGGUAAAAUUGCUAGGAUAAGGGGUUUUCAAGCCCAGGCCUUCAGCAAAGCAAAGUCUUCUCCAAGAUGCUUUCAGAUCCCUGGAGGGCUUACAUUGUCAUGGUUCUCUCUGCUGAGAUGCUGCCUCCUUAAAAGUGCACAUAGCUUUGCUGAAGAUGGGAAACUUUCCUGAUUUCCGUGAGAAAAAAAGAAACUAAACAGCUAGCAUGAGACGCACAUAUCAUGAUUCUUGGCUAUGCAAACCUGAGGCUGAUGCAUCCUCCAGCAGCUGACCACGGACAUGUGCAGCAUCACAGUGACAGAUGGCAUUUCAACCACUUGGUUUACACCUUCCUCCACUGUCACCACCAUUCUGACAGAAAUGAGUUCCAUUUGCUCCAUUUUACAUAAGGGCAAAAGGCAGCAUUGACUCACCAAGUUUACACAGUUAGGGAAAAGAGCAACCAGGUCAGGAUCAGAUACAACAAAGAAGUGAUUGCAGAUGUUAAAUGGAACAUAGCUCUGGUCGUUUGAUAAAUAUUCAGUAAUUUCUUCAGUUUGUUAAGAAAAAUUAUCCAAAAUUUACAAUUACAGAGGAAGCAAAAUUUUACCUGUACCCUAUUUUUUUUUUUCUGGGGCUAAGAAUUAAAUUGACUUAAGACAGACAUAAGACAGAUCAACAGCAGAAGAACAAAUUUACUUAAUACAAGUUUUACAUGGCAGGAGAGACUACAUAAGGAAAUGCAGACCCAAAGGCACAGUUAGAUUGAACACUUACAUACAGAAUUAAAGAGUCAUGAAUUGUGAAAAUGUCACAAGGCCAAGAAGCUUGGGCUGAGUGGUUAAUUGAGUGAAAAAGUGGCUCGGAAGGUAUCUCCGCCCUAUGAAGGCCUUGAUGGGGAGCAACUCAGGCCUUGAAGGUAAAUGUCCUGUCCCACAGGUGCCAUGAGCUCCGGGAAGUAGAGACGUGAUCAGACUCCCCUGCUACAGCCUUGUACUUGUCACCGAAGGGAGAUGUGCAGGUGCAAGCCCGACCAAGGGACACCUCCGUGGCCAUGACAGCUUUUCUUCUUAAAAGAAAAAACCGGACCGUGGGUUCAGAAAUCCAAAUCCAUUUGUUUAUACUCGAUUCAUACCAAAGACUACAAAAUAUACUUGUUAAUCUAUAUUUAAUAUAGCUACUUAAUACAUUUAGUCAUCUCAUUUUUAAUAUUUUUUAUUAUUCAUUUUAAUCUCUUUUCUUAUUUACUUAACAGCAAGCUUAUCCUUAAAGAUCAUCUCAUUUUUAAAUUUUCAUUCUAUACUUCAGAUAUAGUUUCAAAUUAUCUUUUUUAAUUGAAAAUCGCAAUUUGAGAACUACGGAAAGGUAUCAUUGAACCAGAAACUCCUGAACCUGAGUAUAGCUGAGAAUGCCUGAAUGUAGCUGGGUGUACCUGAGUUUACCUUAGUUUACCUGAGUCAACCUGUGUUCCUGCACAGACCAUAUAAAUUUUCUCCCAGAUAAGAAUGAAGAUGCGGCUAACAGACAUAACCUGUGAGGGGCAGCAGUGUCAGCCCUGGUCUUUCCAUUAGCUGCAAAGGAAGUCUGAAGCAGGCUAGACUGUGCCAGAACGAACCGUUUCAGAAACUGCUCAGGCCUGAGUGUGAAAUGGGCAUCGGAUGUAAACAGAACCAUGACACAGACUUAGGAAUGUUUACUAAAUGGCAUCUCACCCCCGUAAUAGAGAUGGAGGCAGCCUUGAACCCCAAACCUCCCAGGAGGUGGAAAGAUCAGGUAGGAAGGGGAAGGAAGAUACCAAAGUCUUUAGCAAGGUGACUCUUCCGCAUUACAAAUGCAGUUUCAGAAUUCAUAUUCCCGCUGCAAGGGAAAGAGUAGGACGCGGACAGAGAGAUUGUGUGUAUUUCAUCCUGGCUACCUUAGGAAUGGCUUCUGGAACAUGUUUUAUGCUCUAAUGAGUCGUGUUAGGCUUCUCACAUGGCACCAAAUAGAAUUUGUCAGUUUGCUACUGAUGUAUUAGCAAAUUCUGAAUUCGCCCCCACCCCCUCACACUACUGUUUUUAGGACUUUUAUUUUCAGAUGCUUUAGUAAUGAUAAAAGAUGAAACAUGCUUAAUACUAUGAAGAAUCAGUUACAUUAACAAACUCUCACAUCCCUGUGUUUGGAAACGUAACUCAGCAUAGGGGCACAGUCUGUCAGUAAGACCCAGGUUAACCCUCUUUCUCCCUUCCCUUGUUAGCUGCACAAUCAUCUGUUGAAAGCCUCUUGUAGUCUCUGCCUCAGUUCUCCGGUGCUAAAUGGUUGUUCUUCUCAGAAGAACAUAAUAAAAAUUAAGCAAGACAAAAAUAGAACAGUUUCAAUGCGAAAUCAUUUAGUUAGAAAAAUAUACCUAAUUUUUCUGCUUAUAUUUGCAAAGAAAUCCUGCAAUAAAUAUUUUGAAAGGAAUGAAGAUGAGUCCAAUAAAUUUAUAUUUUAUUUUUAUAAUGGACUUUAGAAUAUAGAGGGACUCAGUUAUGUUAGUAAAUGCAAUACUUUGCAAAACACUUUGCAAAUGUGAAGAACUUUAGUCCAACUAUUUAUACGUCAUAUCACUUUUCUAUUGCUGCAUUAAAAAGCUCCAAACCUAGGAACUUGAAAUAACAAACACUUUGUUUCACAUAGUUACUAAGGUUCAAGAAUCUAGGAAUGGGGUGGCUGCAUGGUUCCGGCUCAGGAUGUCUCACUAAGUUGCAGCUGAACUGUCAUCAGCGGCUGUAGUCUCUGAAAACUUAGCUUCUGGGGCUGGAGGCCCCAUUUCCAAGUUCAGUCAUGUAGCUGCUGGCAGGAGGCUUCUGUUCCUUCCUAUGUGGGACGCUCCAUGAAACUGGUCACAACAUGGCUUCCUCCAGAGUGAAACUGAUUACAACAUGGCUUCCCCCACCCCCAGAAUGAAACUGAUCACACAACAUGGCUUCUCCCCAGAAUGAAACUGAUCGUAACAUGGCUUCCCUGAGGGCAAAUAUCUACAUGAGACAAGGAGCAAGUGUGAUGAAAUCAAAAUAUUUUAUAAUCUAAUCUUGGAAGUAACAUCUCAUUACUUCUCUGUAUUCUACUGAUCAAACAGACCAGCAACCCUGAGCCAGUAUGGAUUUCGUCACACUACACAAAGAUAUGAAUCCCAGGGGGCAGGGACCAUCUUGGAGGCUUGGCUACCACAGAAAACAAGUUAAACAGAUGAUCCUUUUUAAAAUCCUUGUCCUGUGGCUUUUAACAUACUCAUAUUAAGAUUAAUAAGCCUAUUUUACUAGUAGGGUCUCCAUUUAGCCAUAGAAUCAGAGCCAUCAACCUGGGACAAAAAGUAAGAUUUUAUCAACUAGUAUAAAAAUAUACUAAACUACUCAACUGAGGCACUAAGGUAUCCAAUAUUGAAAUUCGUUGUGAGACAAGCAUCAAUUUUUCAAAAGAAAUAUCUGAAAAGUGGUUAGACAAGUCUUAGGCUUUGCACCCAAGGGCUAUUCCCACAUACCAGAAGUAUAAAAAGGUCAAGAGAGAGGGAAAUCAGAAAGAAUGUGUGAGGGGAGUUGGUUUGGAAGGGGUAAUUGAUUGCUAUGAGUUCUAUCUAAAGGUGACGAGUGAGAGUAGCUUUAAUUGAAUUGUUUGGAGGGCUUCAAAUGUGUUCUUUGUGGCUGAGGCUGCAGAAUGGAUGGACAUCUGACUCUGUCCAGGAAAUCUGGAAGUUAGGAGAGAUGUGUUGCUGAGCUCAUUGACACUCUGUAAAGAAGAGUCACUGGCUUGAUAAAAUCAUGUCAUUUGCAGCAACAUGGAUGAAACUGGAGGACAUUAUGUCAAAUGAAAUUAGACAAGCACAGAAAGACAAAUAUUGCAUGUUCUCACUCACAUGUAGGAGCUAAAAAAUAUUGAUCUCACGGAGGUAGAGAAUGGAAUCAUAGAUACCAGAGGGCAGAAAGGGUAUGUGGUGGGGAGAAGGGGGUUGGAUAAAAAUAAGCUGGUUAAUCAGUACAAACAUAUAGUUAGAUAGAAGGAAUAGGUUUUAAUGUUUGACAGCAGACUACGGUGACUAUAGUUAACAUGAAUAUAUUGUAUAUUUCAAAAUAAUUGAAAGAGAGGACUUAAAAUGUUCCCAACACAAAGAAAUGAUAAAUAUUCCAGGUGAUGGAUAUUCUAAAUACCUUGAUGUGAUCAUUACACAUUCUAUGCAUGUAACAAAAUAUCACAUGUACCCUGUAAAUAUGUACAAAUAUGAUGUAUCAAUAAAUAAAAAUUUAAAAAUAUAUUUCUUAAAUUAACUUUAUCUGAAAGACAUUCUACAUACUGUACUCAGUCAAUUGGAUGUCAUCAUUUCAUUCCAGGAUCCUCUGCUAAUUCCUGAGUUUACUGAUUGGGAUCUCUGCACUAAUUUGAAAUGAUUUCCUAACAUGCUCCUGCCCGGGAUGAUUGGAAAGGUUAACUACUAUCUGACUGUUAAGCACCCUAUAAAUAAAAACAGCAUGAGUAAUACUAGCUAUAUAGUAGAAGAUUAGUAACUGUGACCUUUUUAGCAUAAAAAAGAUACUUUAUAUUUUAAAUGCCUUUUACCCCAGUGGGAAAUACACAGAGGUGGUGUUGUGGGUUUUUAAAGGGUUGUAAUAGGUAGCAGAGUAAGAGCAUAGUUAUGAUAAAUAAUAGCUGUCAACUGAAGCAUUCAUGUAAAAUUUAUGAUGUAGUCAAGUAACAAUGACCCACUUUUCAUCUCUAUCACAUUCAGCUGGAAACAAUGAAGAAUCAGUCUUUUGAGCUUUUGCAUGUAUUCUUUGAUUUUUUUUAAAGAC
RNAcentral lists this long non-coding RNA (8186 nucleotides) under Homo sapiens (human). Its description in RNAcentral is "non-protein coding lnc-CLDN23-1:10". Lineage: Eukaryota; Metazoa; Chordata; Mammalia; Primates; Hominidae. The record is from RNAcentral.